Long non-coding RNA from Bactrocera dorsalis (oriental fruit fly), 508 nucleotides. RefSeq lists it as uncharacterized. The record is from RefSeq and is a predicted model, not a curated record. The transcript has 3 exons. Lineage: Eukaryota; Metazoa; Arthropoda; Insecta; Diptera; Tephritidae.
CAUGGAUAGCAUUGCGAAUAUUAUUAACUAUACCUGUAACGGUUGCUAAUAGUUAACGGUUAGCAACUUUGUUAAUUGAAAACGAAAUUGCUGAAACCAUCGACUUUGACAAUCUUAUAAAAGAGUUCGCUGAUAGAAAGGCCAGAAAGUUAGAGGGCGCCGUAGAAAUCUCGCCCAGGGCGCUGUUAGUGUUAAAACCGGCACUGGGCUCGCCAUUUAUAAGAGAAGAAGCAUGUGAAUCCCCGUGUUGAUGCGUACGUCAGUUUUGCGUAAAUACUCAGAAAAAAAUUGCUCAAUAUAAUAGAUACACAUCAGUGAACUUAGCUUUUUGUAAAAACAAACGUAAUUUUAUCCAGUUUUUCUAUCUGAAUUGAUGGGUCGAAAGACACAUUACACUGUUGAAGAAGCCCGACUGGUUUCAAACCUCAAAAAAGCAAAGAAAAUCGCUUCGGGAAAUUGGGAAAUUAAUAUAAAGGUCACAUAAUUUUGUUAAAAAUGCUUUAGAGCA